CAGAAUAAGAGAGAGAGGGAGUACAGCUUUGAAGCCACCACAGAUCUCCUGAAUGAGUCAGAGUAGGACUGAUGUACAUGCUAAAAGCUGUCCCUUGGAUCAAGGAUACAAAUUACAGGUUAAACCCACCGCUUCCUGUACUCCACAUCCAGCAAUUUACUGUGUAUUAUCUCAGGUGACUUGCAUCACUCUCAGAGACACCCUCCAG
This 208-nucleotide long non-coding RNA is filed under the name Fukomys damarensis (Damara mole-rat). RNAcentral describes it as "lncRNA (ENSFDAG00000021609.1)". Lineage: Eukaryota; Metazoa; Chordata; Mammalia; Rodentia; Bathyergidae. The record is from RNAcentral.